GACGAACGCUGGCGGCGUGCUUAACACAUGCAAGUCGAACGGAAAGGCCCUGCUUGCAGGGUACUCGAGUGGCGAAAGGGUGAGUAACACGCGGGUGAUCUGCCCUGCACUUCGGGAUAAGCCUGGGAAACUGGGUCUAAUACCGGAUAGGAGCCAUUUUGAGUGUGAUGGUUGGAAAGUUUUUUCGGUGUAGGAUGAGCUCGCGGCCUAUCAGCUUGUUGGUGGGGUAAUGGACUACCAAGGCGGCGACGGGUAGCCGGCCUGAGAGGGUGGACGGCCACAUUGGGACUGAGAUACGGCCCAGACUCCUACGGGAGGCAGCAGUGGGGAAUAUUGCACAAGGGGCGCAAGCCUGAUGCAGCGACGCCGCGUGGGGGAUGACGGCCUUCGGGUUGUAAACUCCUUUCGCUAGGGACGAAGCUUUUUGUGACGGUACCUAGAUAAGAAGCACCGGCUAACUACGUG
RNAcentral lists this ribosomal RNA (465 nucleotides) under uncultured bacterium. RNAcentral describes it as "partial 16S ribosomal RNA". It matches the Rfam family "Bacterial small subunit ribosomal RNA", at positions 28 to 507 of the family's 1533-position model. The record is from RNAcentral.